UACGUAGGGUGCGAGCGUUGUCCGGAAUUACUGGGCUUAAAGGGCGCGUAGGCGGGCUGUCAAGUCUGGGGUGAAAUGCUGCGGCUCAACCGUAGAACUGCCUUAGAUACUGACGGCCUUGAGGAAGGUAGGGGCAUGCGGAACUGUAGGUGGAGCGGUGAAAUGCGUUGAUAUCUACAGGAACUCCGGUGGCGAAAGCGGCGUGCUGGACCUUUUCUGACGCUGAGGCGCGAAAGCGUGGGUAGCAAACAGG
Molecule: ribosomal RNA, 253 nt
Filed under: uncultured bacterium
Lineage: Bacteria
Description: partial 16S ribosomal RNA
Rfam family: Bacterial small subunit ribosomal RNA
Source: RNAcentral